CAGCCGCGGUAAUACGGAGGGUGCGAGCGUUAAUCGGAAUUACUGGGCGUAAAGAGUGCGUAGGUGGUUAGAUAAGUUAUCUGUGAAAUCCCUGGGCUUAACCUGGGCAGGUCAGAUGAUACUGUUUGACUCGAGUAUGGGAGAGGGUAGUGGAAUUUCCGGUGUAGCGGUGAAAUGCGUAGAGAUCGGAAGGAACACCAGUGGCGAAGGCGGCUACCUGGCCUAAUACUGACACUGAGGCACGAAAGCGUGGGGAGCAAACAGGAUUAGAUACCCUGGUAGUCCACGCUGUAAACGAUGUCAACUAGCUGUUGGA
RNAcentral lists this ribosomal RNA (316 nucleotides) under uncultured Legionella sp. RNAcentral describes it as "bacterial SSU rRNA". It matches the Rfam family "Bacterial small subunit ribosomal RNA", at positions 512 to 827 of the family's 1533-position model. The record is from RNAcentral. Lineage: Bacteria; Pseudomonadati; Pseudomonadota; Gammaproteobacteria; Legionellales; Legionellaceae.